UCUCCGUUGGUGAACCAGCGGAGGGAUCAUUACAGAGUUUAGAAGCUCUUCAAACCACUGCGUACCUACCUCUGUUGCCUCGGCAGAAGCACCGGGGAGGCGGUGGGGGGGGGGACCGCAGGAGCCGAGCACUGGGGGGUAACCUCCCCCCGCGGUCUGCUCGCUGCGGGCCCCCCCGCCCCCCUCGGCAGCCUGCCGGUGGAUUUUCAAACCGUACAUUUCCGUCGAGAUUCUGAGCGAGCCUGCAUAGGCGAUAAUAAAAGUCACAACUUUCAACAACGGAUCUCUUGGCUCUG
RNAcentral lists this unclassified non-coding RNA (296 nucleotides) under plant metagenome. RNAcentral's name for it is "partial contains small subunit ribosomal RNA, internal transcribed spacer 1, and 5.8S ribosomal RNA". The record is from RNAcentral.